Non-coding RNA from Cyanistes caeruleus (blue tit), 840 nucleotides. NCBI's taxonomy places the organism in Eukaryota, Metazoa, Chordata, Aves, Passeriformes, Paridae. The record is from RefSeq and is a predicted model, not a curated record.
AAUAGCAAGUCAAGAGGGGAGCCACGUUUUCCUGGGGCUGAGCAGGGAGCCAAGCUGAGAUAGCGCUGCUUGCCGGAGCGUCUGGACAGCACGGACAGAAAAGGGCCCCUCUUCCCAGCAUCCAGCCCCCAGAUGGGUUUUGGCUUCAAAGGGCUUAGCUGUGACCUUCAAGCAAGGCUAAGGUGGGAGCUGGAGCCUGCUGUCUCAGUCUGAAGGGGUGCAGUGGUGGAGUCCCCAUCCCUGGAGGUGUUGGGAGAGACUGGAUGUGGUGCCAUGCUGAUAUUGGGUCUUGGGUUGGACUGGAUGAUCUCAGAAGUCUUUUCCACCCUCAGAUUCCAUGGCUCUGUGGUGGGUGUGAUGUGUAGCUGGGGUGCCUCCAUGCCCUGCUGCUGGCUGCAUCCUCCCAGAUGUGAACUGUGGGGUUUAUAUCCUCUUCUUUGGGCCUGUUUGGACCAAGCAGAUCGGAGGAAAGCCUUCAGCCAAGAGUGCUGUCCUUAUUUAUUAGAGCCUUGACAAGUUAAAUAGAGGUAGAGAUUAAAUAUGAAUGGGACUUAUGUUGGAAAGCUCAGCCUUAGAGACAUUAAAGAAAAGGAAGUUAAUUCAAUAGGGAAGUCACCUGACUAACAGGAUGAAAAUCUGAGUAUGAGGGGGAUGCUGAUCAUGUCCCACUUCCCUUGUGGAGCAGAGGAGCUGGGAUAGGACACCUGAAAGGUGCCUGGCAGAUGUGGCAUCGUCCUGUUCAGGGGGGAGCUGCAGCCACAGAUAAGCAUCAUCAUUUUAACCUCUCUUGUAAGUCUGUCUUUCUGAAAAGCAGUAAAAGCUGUCUACUUUUGCAACUUA